Molecule: ribosomal RNA, 301 nt
Filed under: uncultured bacterium
Lineage: Bacteria
Description: partial 16S ribosomal RNA
Rfam family: Bacterial small subunit ribosomal RNA
Source: RNAcentral
CAGUAGCCGCGGUAAUACAGAGGGUGCGAGCGUUAAUCGGAUUUACUGGGCGUAAAGCGUGCGUAGGCGGCUAAUUGAGUCGGAUGUGAAAUCCCCGAGCUUAACUUGGGAAUUGCAUUCGAUACUGGUUAGCUAGAGUGUGGGAGAGGAUGGUAGAAUUCCAGGUGUAGCGGUGAAAUGCGUAGAGAUCUGGAGGAAUACCGAUGGCGAAGGCAGCCAUCUGGCCUAACACUGACGCUGAGGUACGAAAGCAUGGGGAGCAAACAGGAUUAGAUACCCGUGUAGUCCCUGUCCUUAUACA